This 794-nucleotide ribosomal RNA is filed under the name Chaetoceros cinctus. Its description in RNAcentral is "LSU rRNA". It matches the Rfam family "Eukaryotic large subunit ribosomal RNA", at positions 50 to 857 of the family's 3401-position model. The record is from RNAcentral. Lineage: Eukaryota; Bacillariophyta; Thalassiosirophyceae; Chaetocerotales; Chaetocerotaceae.
GCGGAGGAAAAGAAAAUAACUAUGAUUCCCUCAGUAAGGGCGACUGAAGCGGGAAGAGCUCAUUCUGUGAAUCUGAAUACUAUUUUGGUAUUCCGAAUUGUGAAUUUAAGAAGCACAUCAGCGAGAGUUCUGGUCUAAGUCUCUUGGAAAAGAGCAGCUGAGAGGGUGACACUCCCGUAUUUUGGCUAGAACUCAAACUUUAGCAUGUGGUUUCGACGAGUCGAGUUGCUUGGGAUUGCAGCUCAAAGUUGGUGGUAAAUUCCAUCUAAAGCUAAAUAUUGGAAAAUGACCGAUAGCGUACAAGUACCGUGAGGGAAAGAUGCAAAGAACUUUGAAAAAAGAGUUAAAGAGUACCUGAAAUUGCUGAAAUGGAAGCAAACGGAUCCAGUGCCAUGCCUUAUCAUUUUUCUGUUCUUGCUUGCGAGAAUAGCGCUGUGAUCUGGUGUAGGUCAACAUGGGUUUGAACCGAAGGAAGCAGCUAUUUAGGAGGCAGCACAAUUUCUGUGCGAUUACUAUUUAGCUAUGCUUUGGUUCAGACCGAGGAUAGUCACUUUGUGCUUCGUGAUGUUGACAAAAUGGAUCUGUUUACCCCGUCUUGAAACACGGACCAAGGAGUCUAAGAUGUUUGCGAGUAUAUGAGUGGUAAACUCACGUGCGAAAUGAAAGUAACAGUGGUAAUAUCCUUUGGAAAAUUAUCCGCCGGCCACAAUCCUUCGGGAGAAAGGUCUGAGUGUGAGCAUAUAUCUUGGGACCCGAAAGAUGGUGAACUAUGCCUGAAUAGGGUGAAGCCGCGG